UACCGCAUACGUCCUACGGGAGAAAGCAGGGGACCUUCGGGCCUUGCGCUAUCAGAUGAGCCUAGGUCGGAUUAGCUAGUUGGUGAGGUAAUGGCUCACCAAGGCUACGAUCCGUAACUGGUCUGAGAGGAUGAUCAGUCACACUGGAACUGAGACACGGUCCAGACUCCUACGGGAGGCAGCAGUGGGGAAUAUUGGACAAUGGGCGAAAGCCUGAUCCAAACAGGCCGCGUGUGUGAAGAAGGUCUUCGGAUG
RNAcentral lists this ribosomal RNA (255 nucleotides) under uncultured bacterium. Its description in RNAcentral is "partial 16S ribosomal RNA". It matches the Rfam family "Bacterial small subunit ribosomal RNA", at positions 167 to 424 of the family's 1533-position model. The record is from RNAcentral.